Long non-coding RNA from Mercurialis annua (annual mercury), 680 nucleotides. RefSeq lists it as uncharacterized. The transcript has 2 exons. Lineage: Eukaryota; Viridiplantae; Streptophyta; Magnoliopsida; Malpighiales; Euphorbiaceae. The record is from RefSeq and is a predicted model, not a curated record.
AGUUAUUAUUUCUCUCUCAGAAAAAAAUUCUCUCCCUUCUCUCUAAAAACACAAAACUAAAAACCAUUAUUUUGAGGAGGUGGUUUUGGCUUUUGGCCGGAAAACCACCUCCUCCACUCCUUUUUCUUUUUUCACCUUCACUUCUUAAUAAAAUUUAGUUAGUUUAACCAAUGGGAGUUGGUCCAAGUGGUAAGCGGCUUGAUUCGCUUAAGCAAGGUUUCGGGUUCGAGUCCUUGUGAAUGCAGAAAAAUCCCACUGGCAGACUCACCCACCAUGCCAGGUGCGCGACGCGGGUCGGAUCCGGAUUAGUCAGGGAGAAGUCUUGGAAACCGGAUGGACUUACCAAAAAAUAAAAUUAAUCUAUCUUGUUGGAUUCAUAUUGAAGAUGCGGAUGGAGGCUAAGGAGCAAGCGGUUUCACGAUAUAAUUGAAUGGGUUUGAUGAAUUAAGAUCCCGCGUCUCGGACAAAGCGCCGUGUUUAAGUUUUGCGGAAUUCGGCUUGAUUUACUCUUUUUCGAUUAAUCUUUUGCUUGUUUUUUUAUAACUCCAUAUGUAUUUUGUUGGUAGAUUAGAGUUUUGAAAGUUUAUAUGGUUAGUUGUGUAUAACUUUCAUUUUAUACUUUAAUCCCAUCUAUGAAUCUAUCUUGAAAAAAAAAAACUUUUUUAGUUAUUGAUUUGAAA